Molecule: ribosomal RNA, 765 nt
Filed under: uncultured Streptococcus sp.
Lineage: Bacteria; Bacillati; Bacillota; Bacilli; Lactobacillales; Streptococcaceae
Description: bacterial SSU rRNA
Rfam family: Bacterial small subunit ribosomal RNA
Source: RNAcentral
GACGAACGCUGGCGGCGUGCCUAAUACAUGCAAGUAGAACGCUGAAGAGAGGAGCUUGCUCUUCUUGGAUGAGUUGCGAACGGGUGAGUAACGCGUAGGUAACCUGCCUGGUAGCGGGGGAUAACUAUUGGAAACGAUAGCUAAUACCGCAUAAGAGUAGAUGUUGCAUGACAUUUGCUUAAAAGGUGCAAAUGCAUCACUACCAGAUGGACCUGCGUUGUAUUAGCUAGUUGGUGAGGUAACGGCUCACCAAGGCAACGAUACAUAGCCGACCUGAGAGGGUGAUCGGCCACACUGGGACUGAGACACGGCCCAGACUCCUACGGGAGGCAGCAGUAGGGAAUCUUCGGCAAUGGACGGAAGUCUGACCGAGCAACGCCGCGUGAGUGAAGAAGGUUUUCGGAUCGUAAAGCUCUGUUGUAAGAGAAGAACGAGUGUGAGAGUGGAAAGUUCACACUGUGACGGUAUCUUACCAGAAAGGGACGGCUAACUACGUGCCAGCAGCCGCGGUAAUACGUAGGUCCCGAGCGUUGUCCGGAUUUAUUGGGCGUAAAGCGAGCGCAGGCGGUUAGAUAAGUCUGAAGUUAAAGGCUGUGGCUUAACCAUAGUACGCUUUGGAAACUGUUUAACUUGAGUGCAAGAGGGGAGAGUGGAAUUCCAUGUGUAGCGGUGAAAUGCGUAGAUAUAUGGAGGAACACCGGUGGCGAAAGCGGCUCUCUGGCUUGUAACUGACGCUGAGGCUCGAAAGCGUGGGGAGCAAACAGG